CCUACGGGAGGCAGCAGUGGGGGAUAUUGCACAAUGGGGGAAACCCUGAUGCAGCGACGCCGCGUGUGGGAAGACGGUCCUCUGGAUUGUAAACCACUGUCCCCAGGGACGAAGAUGACGGUACCUGGGGAGGAAGCUCCGGCUAACUACGUGCCAGCAGCCGCGGUAAUACGUAGGGAGCGAGCGUUGUUCGGAAUUACUGGGUGGAAAGGGAGCGGAGGGGGGACUGCAAGUUGGGUGUCAAAUCUACCGGCUCAACCGGUAGCCGCACUCGAGACUGCAGUUCUUGAGUGAAGUAGAGGCAGGCGGAAUUCCUAGUGUAGCGGUGAAAUGCGUAGAUAUUAGGAGGAACACCAGUGGCGAAGGCGGCCUGCUGGGCUUUUACUGACGCUGAGGCUCGAAAGUGUGGGGAGCAAACAGGAUUAGAUACCCCGGUAGUC
Molecule: ribosomal RNA, 440 nt
Filed under: uncultured bacterium
Lineage: Bacteria
Description: partial 16S ribosomal RNA
Rfam family: Bacterial small subunit ribosomal RNA
Source: RNAcentral